AGAGUUUGAUCCUGGCUCAGGACGAUUGCUGGCGGCGCGCCUAACACAUGCAAGUCGAACGAGCGAGAGAGAGCUUGCUUUCUCGAGCGAGUGGCGAACGGGUGAGUAACGCGUGAGGAACCUGCCUCAAAGAGGGGGACAACAGUUGGAAACGACUGCUAAUACCGCAUAAGCCCACGACCCGGCAUCGGGUUGAGGGAAAAAGGAGCAUUCCGCUUUUGAGAUGCCCUCGCUUCGGAUAAGCUAGUGGGUGAGGUAAUGGCCCACCAAGGCGACGAUCGGUAGCCGGAUUGAGAGGUUGAACGGCCACAUUGGGAUUGAGACACGGCCCAGACUCUUACGGGAGGCAGCAGUGGGGAAUAUUGCACAAUGGGGGAAACCUUGAUGCAGCGACGCCGCGUGGAGGAAGAAGGUCUUCGGAUUGUAAACUCCUGUUGUUGAGGAAGAUAAUGACGGUACUCAACAAGGAAGUGACGGCUAACUACGUGCCAGCAGCCGCGGUAAAACGUAGGUCACAAGCGUUGUCCGGAAUUACUGGGUGUAAAGGGAGCGCAGGCGGGAAGACAAGUUGGAAGUGAAAUCUAUGGGCUCAACCCAUAAACUGCUUUCAAAACUGUUUUUCUUGAGUAGUGCAGAGGUAGGCGGAAUUCCCGGUGUAGCGGUGGAAUGCGUAGAUAUCGGGAGGAACACCAGUGGCGAAGGCGGCCUACUGGGCACCAACUGACGCUGAGGCUCGAAAGUGUGGGUAGCAAACAGGAUUAGAUACCCUGGUAGUCCACACCGUAAACGAUGAUUACUAGGUGUUGGAGGAUUGACCCCUUCAGUGCCGCAGUUAACACAAUAAGUAAUCCACCUGGGGAGUACGACCGCAAGGUUGAAACUCAAAGGAAUUGACGGGGGCCCGCACAAGCAGCGGAGCAUGUGGUUUAAUUCGAAGCAACGCGAAGAACCUUACCAGGUCUUGACAUCCGUGUAAAGCCGCAGAGAUGCGGUGUGAGCUUGCUCAAUACGAGACAGGUGGUGCAUGGUUGUCGUCAGCUCGUGUCGUGAGAUGUUGGGUUAAGUCCCGCAACGAGCGCAACCCUUAUCGUCCGUUACUAACGCGUAGAGGCGAGGACUCAGACGAGACCGCCGGGGACAACUCGGAGGAAGGUGGGGACGACGUCAAAUCAUCAUGCCCCUUACGACCUGGGCUACACACGUGCUACAAUGGGUACAACAAAGAGAAGCGAGACCGCAAGGUGGAGCAAAACUCAGAAAAGUACUCUCAGUUCAGAUUGUGGGCUGCAACCCGCCCACAUGAAGUUGGAGUUGCUAGUAAUCGCGGAUCAGCAUGCCGCGGUGAAUACGUUCCCGGGCCUUGCACACAACGCCCGUCA
RNAcentral lists this ribosomal RNA (1379 nucleotides) under uncultured bacterium. RNAcentral describes it as "bacterial SSU rRNA". It matches the Rfam family "Bacterial small subunit ribosomal RNA". The record is from RNAcentral.